UUGUUCGCAUGAACAACGCUUAAAAGAUGGCUUCUCGCUAUCACUUCUGGAUGGACCUGCGGUGCAUUAGCUUGUUGGUGGGGUAACGGCCUACCAAGGCGAUGAUGCAUAGCCGAGUUGAGAGACUGAUCGGCCACAAUGGGACUGAGACACGGCCCAUACUCCUACGGGAGGCAGCAGUAGGGAAUCUUCCACAAUGGGCGCAAGCCUGAUGGAGCAACACCGCGUGAGUGAAGAAGGGUUUCGGCUCGUAAAGCUCUGUUGUUAAAGAAGAACACGUAUGAGAGUAACUGUUCAUACG
This 301-nucleotide ribosomal RNA is filed under the name Lactobacillus sp. oral taxon A89. Its description in RNAcentral is "bacterial SSU rRNA". It matches the Rfam family "Bacterial small subunit ribosomal RNA", at positions 182 to 474 of the family's 1533-position model. Lineage: Bacteria; Bacillati; Bacillota; Bacilli; Lactobacillales; Lactobacillaceae. The record is from RNAcentral.